RNAcentral lists this ribosomal RNA (432 nucleotides) under uncultured bacterium. RNAcentral's name for it is "bacterial SSU rRNA". It matches the Rfam family "Bacterial small subunit ribosomal RNA", at positions 355 to 796 of the family's 1533-position model. The record is from RNAcentral.
UGGGGAAUUUUUCGCAAUGGGGGCAACCCUGACGAAGCAACGCCGCGUGGGUGAUGAAGUAUCUCGGUACGUAAAACCCUUUCGACGGGGAAGAAACCGCAAGGUUGACGGUACCCGUAGAAGAAGCCCCGGCUAACUCCGUGCCAGCAGCCGCGGUAAUACGGGGGGGGCAAGCGUUGUUCGGAAUUACUGGGCGUAAAGGGCGCGUAGGCGGUUUGCUAAGUUGAAUGUGAAAACUCUGGGCUUAACCCAGAGCCUGCAUUCAAUACUGGCAGGCUAGAGUUCUGGAGGGGAUAGCGGAAUUCCUGGUGUAGCGGUGAAAUGCGUAGAUAUCAGGAGGAACACCGGUGGCGAAGGCGGCUAUCUGGACAGAGUCUGACGCUGAGGCGCGAAAGCUAGGGGAGCAAACAGGAUUAGAUACCCCCGUAGUCC